Oreochromis niloticus (Nile tilapia) is the source of this 510-nucleotide long non-coding RNA. RefSeq lists it as uncharacterized. The transcript is spliced from 2 exons. The record is from RefSeq and is a predicted model, not a curated record. NCBI's taxonomy places the organism in Eukaryota, Metazoa, Chordata, Actinopteri, Cichliformes, Cichlidae.
UUUUUGUUGGGAAUAUACCCGAUGUGAACCUGGAGAGGGACGACAGCCAGCGAGAGCACAUAAUCAGAGAAAUACAGGAGGUCAAUAUUAGCGGUUGAAUGCUGAAAUUAAUUUACUGAACAAUGCUUUAUGGGUGACUCACCAUCGAUGGUCUCGUGGUAGCCCUUGGUGAGGAACUGGAUGGCUUUGGCUGCGCGUAACGGGGUGCGCAACAGUCCCUCCCGGUCGGUGUCCUCCCCGAGAUGCCUCAGGAUGUCGGUGUAGGCGGCUUCCAGCGCCGGUAACCGGGACUCGUCCUCGGACUCUUUGCGGGAUGUCUCGUGGUGGCGGUGGACCGUGGACAUCUUGUCUGUGAUGCGGUCGCCGUUGUUGCUGUGAAACUCCUCCACGAUGUCGCCGACUUUUGUGCUCAUGGUGAAGGCGCGCUUGGACUCUGCUGAGGACCGAGAAUUAAACGAGGAUGAAGUUCCGUUGCCCUGCGGGUCUGGCUGGCUGAUUCGGGUGCCGGUA